This 263-nucleotide long non-coding RNA is filed under the name Brassica rapa (field mustard). Its description in RNAcentral is "long non-coding RNA (BRAP_LNC004172)". The record is from RNAcentral. Lineage: Eukaryota; Viridiplantae; Streptophyta; Magnoliopsida; Brassicales; Brassicaceae.
GAGAAAAAAAAUCAAAAGCAAAAAUGAAAAAAAAGAAACAAACUUUGCUUGAAGAAAACAUAAGAAACAGAACACAUGUUCGUUAUUACACACAUGAAAGAAACGAUAAAGGUUGUUGUAAUAAGGAGAGAAAAGAGACCAAUUUUAAUGGCGGUGACUCGGAAUCCACAUGAUUUUAGGAUGAGACCGAUGCUACUUGCCGUACUCGUACUCAUCUACUCCCGUAGGUUAUUUGGAGGAACUGAGAAUUGAGACCGAUUCGG